GACGAACGCUGGCGGCGUGCUUAACACAUGCAAGUCGAACGGAAAGGCCCUGCUUUUGUGGGGUGCUCGAGUGGCGAACGGGUGAGUAACACGUGAGUAACCUGCCCUUGACUUUGGGAUAACUUCAGGAAACUGGGGCUAAUACCGGAUAGGAGCUCCUGCUGCAUGGUGGGGGCUGGAAAGUUUCGGCGGUUGGGGAUGGACUCGCGGCUUAUCAGCUUGUUGGUGGGGUAGUGGCUUACCAAGGCUUUGACGGGUAGCCGGCCUGAGAGGGUGACCGGCCACAUUGGGACUCAGAUACGGCCCAGACUCCUACGGGAGGCAGCAGUGGGGAAUAUUGCACAAUGGGCGGAAGCCUGAUGCAGCAACGCCGCGUGCGGGAUGACGGCCUUCGGGUUGUAAACCGCUUUCGCCUGUGACGAAGCGUGAGUGACGGUAAUGGGUAAAGAAGCACCGGCUAACUACGUG
This 468-nucleotide ribosomal RNA is filed under the name uncultured bacterium. RNAcentral's name for it is "partial 16S ribosomal RNA". It matches the Rfam family "Bacterial small subunit ribosomal RNA", at positions 28 to 507 of the family's 1533-position model. The record is from RNAcentral.